RNAcentral lists this ribosomal RNA (301 nucleotides) under uncultured bacterium. RNAcentral describes it as "partial 16S ribosomal RNA". It matches the Rfam family "Bacterial small subunit ribosomal RNA", at positions 509 to 808 of the family's 1533-position model. The record is from RNAcentral.
CAGUAGCCGCGGGAAUACGUAGGUCCCGAGCGUUGUCCGGAUUUAUUGGGCGUAAAGGGAGCGCAGGCGGUUUAGUAAGUCUGAAGUUAAAGGCAUUGGCUCAACCAAUGUAUGCUUUGGAAACUGUUAGACUUGAGUGCAGAAGGGGAGAGUGGAAUUCCAUGUGUAGCGGUGAAAUGCGUAGAUAUAUGGAGGAACACCGGUGGCGAAAGCGGCUCUCUGGCUUGUAACUGACGCUGAGGCUCGAAAGCGUGGGGAGCAAACAGGAUUAGAUACCCCUGUAGUCCCUGUCUCUUAUACA